GCUGGUGUGGCUUGAAUGGAAAGCAGCGGCUUUGUAAUCCGCCACAUGUAGGUUCGAUUCCUAUCAUCAGCUCCA
This 75-nucleotide transfer RNA is filed under the name Aeromonas phage vB_AsaP_MQM1. Its description in RNAcentral is "tRNA-Thr". It matches the Rfam family "tRNA". From Rfam's summary of the family: Transfer RNA (tRNA) molecules are approximately 80 nucleotides in length. Their secondary structure includes four short double-helical elements and three loops (D, anti-codon, and T loops). Lineage: Duplodnaviria; Heunggongvirae; Uroviricota; Caudoviricetes. The record is from RNAcentral.